Molecule: ribosomal RNA, 509 nt
Filed under: uncultured bacterium
Lineage: Bacteria
Description: partial 16S ribosomal RNA
Source: RNAcentral
GGAGUUAGCCGGUGCUUCUUCUGUGAGUUGAUGUCCUUCCUGCCGGUUAUUGACCCGCAGGCCUUCUUCCUCACUGAAAGUGCUUUACAACCCGAAGGCCUUCUUCACACACGCGGCAUGGCUGGAUCAGGGUUGCCCCCAUUGUCCAAUAUUCCCCACUGCUGCCUCCCGUAGGAGUCUGGGCCGUGUCUCAGUCCCAGUGUGGCUGAUCAUCCUCUCAGACCAGCUACGGAUCGUCGCCUUGGUGAGCCGUUACCUCACCAACCAGCUAAUCCGACAUAGGCUCAUCCGAUAGCGCGAGGCCCGAAGGUCCCCCGCUUUCCCCCGUAGGGCCGUAUGCGGUAUUAGCCUGGGUUUCCCCAGGUUAUCCCCCACUACCGGGCAGAUUCCUAUGCAUUACUCACCCGUCCGCCGCUCGCCACCAGGGAGCAAGCUCCCCGUGCUGCCGCUCGACUUGCAUGUGUUAGGCCUGCCGCCAGCGUUCAAUCUGAGCCAGGAUCAAACUCUGA